Molecule: microRNA precursor, 116 nt
Organism: Medicago truncatula (barrel medic)
Lineage: Eukaryota; Viridiplantae; Streptophyta; Magnoliopsida; Fabales; Fabaceae
Rfam family: mir-399 microRNA precursor family
About the family: mir-399 was identified in both Arabidopsis thaliana and Oryza sativa computationally and was later experimentally verified. mir-399 is thought to target mRNAs coding for a phosphatase transporter. The mature sequence is excised from the 3' arm of the hairpin.
Source: Rfam
AGUUGAAUUACAGGGUGAGUUCUCCAUUGGCAGGUAGCUAGUCACUAUAUGAUAUGCAUUGCAAUUCAUCUCUUAGUGUGCAAUCUGCCAAAGGAGAUUUGCCCAGCGAUUCUCCU